ACUCUUUUUCAUGCAAAGUCAGAUUCAGUACUUCUUUUUAAAAAAGAAAAGAGAGAGAGAGAGACCAAAGGACUCUGGCCCUCUGGGCGUCAUGUCUUUGGUGCUUAUGGUUCCCAAUUCACCCAGUCUAUCCUCUCACGUGGGACACGG
Small nucleolar RNA from Phyllostomus discolor (pale spear-nosed bat), 150 nucleotides. RefSeq annotates it as small nucleolar RNA SNORA57. The record is from RefSeq and is a predicted model, not a curated record. NCBI's taxonomy places the organism in Eukaryota, Metazoa, Chordata, Mammalia, Chiroptera, Phyllostomidae. The transcript has a single exon.